RNAcentral lists this ribosomal RNA (423 nucleotides) under Verrucomicrobiota bacterium. RNAcentral's name for it is "Verrucomicrobia bacterium partial 16S ribosomal RNA". It matches the Rfam family "Bacterial small subunit ribosomal RNA", at positions 355 to 776 of the family's 1533-position model. RNAcentral also lists the same sequence under 1 other name. Lineage: Bacteria; Pseudomonadati; Verrucomicrobiota. The record is from RNAcentral.
UGAGGAAUAUUGGUCAAUGGGCGCGAGCCUGAACCAGCCAAGUCGCGUGAGGGAUGACGGUCCUACGGAUUGUAAACCUCUUUAGGCGGGGAGUAAUGUGCUCUACGAGUAGAGUAGUGAGAGUACCCGCAGAAUAAGCAUCGGCUAACUCCGUGCCAGCAGCCGCGGUAAUACGGAGGAUGCGAGCGUUAUCCGGAUUUAUUGGGUUUAAAGGGUGCGCAGGCUGUGCAUCAAGUCAGCGGUAAAAUCUCGGGGCUCAACCCCGUUUAGCCGUUGAAACUGGUGUGCUGGAGUGUGCGCGAGGAAGGCGGAAUGCGCGGUGUAGCGGUGAAAUGCAUAGAUAUUGCGCAGAACUCCGAUUGCGAAGGCAGCCUUCCAGUGCAUGACUGACGCUGAGGCACGAAAGCGUGGGUAUCGAACAGG